RNAcentral lists this long non-coding RNA (1578 nucleotides) under Macaca mulatta (Rhesus monkey). RNAcentral describes it as "lncRNA (ENSMMUG00000051580.1)". Lineage: Eukaryota; Metazoa; Chordata; Mammalia; Primates; Cercopithecidae. The record is from RNAcentral.
AGUGGUUGACGAAGAUGAGGCCGGUGAAGAGCAGCACCACCAUGGAGAGGAAGGAGAAGACCACGCACACGCAGCCGGCGAAAUAUUGCUGAAAUUUAAAGGAGGACGAAGACACAGAUUCAUAGCUGGCUCUUGCUGUUUUCCUGACGCUGACCACAGCGGAUAGAGUUUCUUAUAUAGUACUACUUUGAGAAGCCAAAGGAAGCAAUGGUAGUCAUCCCAGGAAAAAACACACAGACAUCAACUCAGAAUGCUUUUAUACAAUUUGGAAUAAAGAACACACAUUUUUCUACUUGUACAGAAUAUAAAAAUAAUCUUUUGUGCUUAUGCUUCACUCCCAUUUUUUCAGGCAGAAAUUCAUACUCAUUCUUGGAAAAUAUGCAAAAUUGUUGCAAAGAUACGCAAAGACAUACAAAAUUUUCCAAACAAACAAGUAAAACAAAAGGUACAUUUUAAGCUGCUCAAAAGUUAAUCUAACAGCAAAGGUACUGUUGUUCAGCUUGAAUGAGAGGAUGAAACUGUAGCAUGCUAUCUGAUGAAAUGCCAAUGUCAUCUUUGUCAGUGGAUUUCAUCUCUCGUUUUGACUGAUAAGUGAUGAAAAACUGUUGUUCGUAUAGUUCAUAAACAUAAUAAUGGAUUCAGAGCUCCCAUAGUAUAUUUUUUAAGACAAGGACAGGCCUGAGUCAAGCAACAUCAGAUUUCUUCAAGACUCUGCUUGGGUUAAACCAUGUAGCAUCAAUUCUUUUGUGAGGUCAUUGUUGGCGGAAUCUGCAUGUUUGAUGUCAGCAAGUUAAGGAUCAUAAAUACACGUUGAAUUUCAAGAUCGCUGGAGCAGAAAUAAGCAUCAAAAGGAUUCUGCAAGGUUCCAGGUGCCCACAGAUUUUUGCCGGCAGAAAACUGGAAAAAAAAUAUUACUCUCUACUUCACCCUAAAGAAACACUUUUUCCUGGCAUUGAAAAUUAACAGGAGUACCUGCUCCCAUCUCCUUUUCCAGAGCAGCAGUUUGGACGGAAGAGCUCAUGGUGGCUCUGCAGCUUUACGAAGAGCAUGUAAGGCUUUGAAUGGAAAAAAAUACUUCACCAAUUUCAUCAGAAGUAUCCACCCAAUAAGUCAAGCCAUGAAUAAACUCAUCCAUGUCCAAUUGUCCUAAGUAAAUGUUCCUUUACUUUCAACAUUCCCUUCCCCUAUCCCUAUUUUCUUUUCCUUUUUUGCCUGAAGGUCAUUCAAAUGCUCAAGGCUAUCUUGUAGAAAGCCAGCAAAUUCCUGUCUAUAGAAAACAUACUUUAGGCUGGGCACGGUGUGGUUCACGCCUGUAAUCCCAGCACUUUGGGAGGCCAAGGUGGGUGGAUCAUUUGAGGUCAGGAGUUCGAGACUAGCCUGGCCAACAUGGUGAAACCCCACCUCUACUAAAAAUAUAAAAAUUAGCUGGACGUGGUGGUGGGUAUCUAUAAUCUCAGCUACUUGGGAGGCUGAGGCAGGAGAAUCGCUUGAGCCUGGGAGGUAGAGGUUGCAGUGAGCUGAGAUUGUACCACUGCACUCCAGCCUGGGUGACAGAGUAAGACUCUCAAAAAAAAAAAA